Molecule: ribosomal RNA, 2318 nt
Filed under: Trypanosoma vivax
Lineage: Eukaryota; Euglenozoa; Kinetoplastea; Trypanosomatida; Trypanosomatidae
Description: eukaryotic LSU rRNA
Rfam family: Eukaryotic large subunit ribosomal RNA (bases 366-2318)
Source: RNAcentral
GCAAGCGCGAUAUGUGGUAUGAUCUGCAGAACCACACGAUUACCCAAUCUUUGAACGCAAACGGCGCAUGGGAGCAGCCCCUCGGGGUCAUCCCCGUGCAUGCCGCAGUCUCAGUGUCGAACCAAAAACACGCCGCCGCGCGCCUCGUCCCGCAGCAGCGCAACAAAAGAGCCUGGCACACCCUCAAAAGGGAAAAAGAGAGCACGCGCGGCACAACGCCCGCAGCUCCGCCAGCGAUCACACGCAACGCAUGCACGCACGCCUCUGCACACACGUGUACACACACGUGUUGUACGCAUGCUGCACGCACGCGCACGCAACGAGAGAGGCACGUCACGCGCGCACCUUCCCGUUUGUUUGUUCACAGACCUGAGUGCGGCAGGACCACCCGCUAAACUUAAGCAUAUUACUCAGCGGAGGAAAAGAAAACAACCGUGAUUCCCUCAGUCAGCGGCGAGCGAACAGGGACACAACUCGCUGCCGAAUCGCGCCUCAAGGGCGCCGACCUGUGGCACGCAACGCGGCGCACGGCUGGCAGCGGCGCGGCGCAAUUCAAGCGCAAAGCAAACCCGUUGCUGGCCACACCCCUUCAUGUGAGUAUUGAGCCAGGGAAGGUGAGAGCCCACUCCACCGCCGCUCACCGCCGCCACCGCGCGCCGCCCACCGAGUAGCACUGCUUGGGAGUGCAGUGUCAAGCGGCAGGUAUUUGCCUGCCAAGGUUAAACACAGAGCGGGAAGACCGAUAGCGAACAAGUAGCGUGAGCGAAAGUUUGAAAAGCACUUUGGAAAGAGAGUGACAUAGAACCUGAAAUCGCGACAACGACAAUGGAAGCGCCUCCCUCACACCGGCCAGCCCCGCGCCCCCACCCCACUCUCUGUGCCAGCACCUCCGCGCGGGGCUCCAUCCGCGCGGCCGCCUGCACACCCGGGGCGCGGGCGAGCUUGCGGAGCGUCGGGCGCGUCGUUGUGCGGCGUGCCCGCUCCGCGCCCUCUCGGCGCUGGCGACGGCGACGGGGCGCCCCCACCCGUCUUGAAACACGGACCAAGGAGUCAAACAGACGCGCAAGGGCAGAGGCACCCCUCAGUCCUCUCCGCCCGCACUGAAAGGGAGACGCGCUCCGCGUCCGUGGCGCGCGCACGCGUGCUCAGCGCCGGCCGGCCCCUCGCGGGCUGCGCUCGAGUGUGCCUGUUUGGACCCGAAAGGUGGUGAACUAUGCCUGAACAAGGCGAAGCCCGGGGAAACCCGGGUGGAGGCCUGUAGCGAUGCUGACGUGCAAAUCGCUCGUACGAUUUGGGUAUCGGAGCGAAAGACUCAUCGAACCACCUAGUAGCUGGUUCACGUCGAAGUUUCCCUCAGGAUAGCUGGUGCUCGCCGUGAAGUACUGUGCGGUAAAGCAAAUGAUUAGAGGCAUUGGUGUUCUUGCAGCAUCGACCUAUUCUCAAACUUUAAAUGUGCAGCGCGCGCGCCCUUCGCCCGCCGCAAGGGCGCGCCUCGGCAGAGUUAUUGGGGCACCAAGUGGGCCUUCUUCGGUAAGCGGAGCAGGCGAUGCGGAAUGAACCGCUUAGGGAUAUGUGGCGUCCAAGCUUCCGGGCUCAUUCUCGAUACGUGAAAAGGGUGUUGGUGGAUAGGGACAGUUGGACGGUGGCCAUGGAAGUCGGCAUCCGCUAAGGAGUGUGUAACAACUCACCAACCGAAUCCACCGGCCCCGAAAAUGGAUGACGCUCAAGCCCGACACGCGAUGGCCCAUUAUUCCUUUGGAGGGGCGGAGGCUCGGGAACGCGCGGCCCCUCCAAUGUAGACGUGGCGUGGGGGUCAGGCCGAAGCCGAUGGCGCGAGCCGCGGUGCACCGGCCCCCAGUGCAGAUCUUGGUUGGCGUAGCAAUGAUCCAACGGCACUCACACGCACACAACGUUGGAUGCUGGAGCGGGGAAGGAUUUCGUGCCAACGGCACUCGCACACGAGUUGUUCGGACACUGAGCACAGCGUUACACCGUUUUGUUGGGAAAGCGCGGGUGCGCCGCCGCCGUCCUCCCUUGGGCGCGCGCGCGGCCAUUCCGCGAAGGGGCAACAGAGAACCUGGGAUGACAUUCCGUAAAGAAAUUGCAUGUGGGACACCUUUAUAUCUUUCGUGGAGACGCAACGCACUCGCCAGGUGACGAAUCAAUCCUCCCACGGUGAGCUUUCUUUUCACCAUAAUCCACGUCUCCGGCACCGCUGGGGCUUGGGCCCGCGACUUGCCGCGUUGCUCGGAGCACGGGCCCAAGAUUGACAAAUGCAGCUCACCCUCCGUACUGUCCUUGUUGUGAGUUCUGGCGCG